This 484-nucleotide ribosomal RNA is filed under the name uncultured bacterium. RNAcentral's name for it is "partial 16S ribosomal RNA". It matches the Rfam family "Bacterial small subunit ribosomal RNA", at positions 28 to 523 of the family's 1533-position model. The record is from RNAcentral.
GAUGAACGCUGGCGGCGUGCUUAACACAUGCAAGUCGAACGAUGAAGCCGGAGCUUGCUCUGGUGGAUUAGUGGCGAACGGGUGAGUAACACGUGAGUAACCUGCCCUUGACUCUGGGAUAAGCGCUGGAAACGGCGUCUAAUACCGGAUACGAGCUUCCACCGCAUGGUGAGUUGCUGGAAAGAAUUUCGGUCAAGGAUGGACUCGCGGCCUAUCAGCUUGUUGGUGGGGUAACGGCUCACCAAGGCAACGACGGGUAGCCGGCCUGAGAGGGUGACCGGCCACACUGGGACUGAGACACGGCCCAGACUCCUACGGGAGGCAGCAGUGGGGAAUAUUGCACAAUGGGCGCAAGCCUGAUGCAGCAACGCCGCGUGAGGGACGAAGGCCUUCGGGUCGUAAACCUCUUUUAGCAGGGAAGAAGCGAAAGUGACGGUACCUGCAGAAAAAGCACCGGCUAACUACGUGCCAGCAGCCGCCGUAA